Molecule: non-coding RNA, 92 nt
Organism: Mycena galericulata
Lineage: Eukaryota; Fungi; Basidiomycota; Agaricomycetes; Agaricales; Mycenaceae
Source: the annotation of a GenBank genome assembly
UCAGACAUGGUGUUGUGGCGACACGGCCUCUUCAAAUAUGUUUGUAUCAAAUACAUCGGGGGCAUUCCGGGGUUCGAUUCCCUGUGUCCGAA